ACAUCCAGAGAACUUAGCAGAGAUGCUUUGGUGCCUUCGGGAACUCUGAGACAGGUGCUGCAUGGCUGUCGUCAGCUCGUGUUGUGAAAUGUUGGGUUAAGUCCCGNAACGAGCGCAACCCUUAUCCUUUGUUGCCAGCGGUUCGGCCGGGAACUCAAAGGAGACUGCCGGUGAUAAACCGGAGGAAGGUGGGGAUGACGUCAAGUCAUCAUGGCCCUUACGGCCAGGGCUACACACGUGCUACAAUGGCGCAUACAAAGAGAAGCGACCUCGCGAGAGCAAGCGGACCUCAUAAAGUGCGUCGUAGUCCGGAUUGGAGUCUGCAACUCGACUCCAUGAAGUCGGAAUCGCCAGUAAUCGUAGAUCAGAAUGCUACGGUGAAUACGUUCCCGGGCCUUGUACACACCGCCCGUCACACCAUGGGAGUGGGUUGCAAAAGAAGUAGGUAGCUUAACCUUCGGGAGGGCGCUUACCACUUUGUGAUUCAUGACUGGGGUGAAGUCGUAACAAGGUAGGCGUAGCGAG
Molecule: ribosomal RNA, 525 nt
Filed under: uncultured bacterium
Lineage: Bacteria
Description: bacterial SSU rRNA
Rfam family: Bacterial small subunit ribosomal RNA
Source: RNAcentral